Molecule: ribosomal RNA, 275 nt
Filed under: uncultured bacterium
Lineage: Bacteria
Description: partial 16S ribosomal RNA
Rfam family: Bacterial small subunit ribosomal RNA
Source: RNAcentral
GGCUGAACCAGCCAAGUCGCGUGAGGGAUGAAGGUUUAUGGAUCGUAAACCUCUUUUAUAAGGGAAUAAGUGCGGGACGUGUCCCGUUUUGUAUGUACCUUAUGAAUAAGGAUCGGCUAACUCCGUGCCAGCAGCCGCGGUAAUACGGAGGAUCCGAGCGUUAUCCGGAUUUAUUGGGUUUAAAGGGUGCGUAGGCGGCCUUUUAAGUCAGCGGUGAAAGUCUGUGGCUCAACCAUAGAAUUGCCGUUGAAACUGGGGGGCUUGAGUAUGUUUGA